GAUCAUGCUCAGGAUGAACGCUAGCGGCAGGCCUAACACAUGCAAGUCGAGGGGCAUCGGGAUUGAAGCUUGCUUCAAUUGCCGGCGACCGGCGCACGGGUGCGUAACGCGUAUGUAACCUACCUAUAACAGGGGCAUAACACUGAGAAAUUGGUACUAAUUCCCCAUAAUAUUCGGAGAGGCAUCUCUCCGGGUUGAAAACUCCGGUGGUUAUAGAUGGACAUGCGUUGUAUUAG
This 236-nucleotide ribosomal RNA is filed under the name uncultured bacterium. Its description in RNAcentral is "partial 16S ribosomal RNA". It matches the Rfam family "Bacterial small subunit ribosomal RNA", at positions 15 to 244 of the family's 1533-position model. The record is from RNAcentral.